GAAUUUAAUUUUGGUUCAGAUUGAACGUUAUUCAGUAGUUUUAGACAUGCAAAUCAUUGUUUCCAAUUUUUUUAAAAAAGGAAAUAAGGUGUAGAGGUGAGUACAGGUAAAUAAGAUGCCCUUUAGUCCUCGUAAAUAGGGGAUAAGGUAAAGGAAAUUUAUCCGCUAAAGGAUUCUAUUUAUUUCGAUUAGGUAGUUGGUAGGGUAACGGCCUAACCAAGCCAACGAUCGAUAGCUAAGCUUGAGAGAGUCUAUGGCCACAUUGGGAAUGAAAUCUCCUAAGUAGUUUACAAAAACUACCAGCAGUCGAGAAUCUUAGUCAAUGCUCGAAAGAGUGAACUAGCUAACUGAAAUCAAACAUUUUUUUUAAAUGUAAAAAAUGAGAUGUCGUAGGGGAAAAUAAUGAUACUACCCUACUAAUAGUGUUGUCCAAAACUGGUGCCAGAAGACUCGGUCAGACCAGGAACGCAAACGUUAAUCGUAAUAAACAGGCGUAAAGGGUAAGUAGGCUGCUUCAAUUGAAUGCUAGAAUCAAAAAUAGGAUGUAUUAGAGAAUGCUUAGAGUAGGGUUUGAAUCCUCAGAUACUAAGUGGAAUUCUAAGGGCGUAAGCUUUUAUUCGCUAAUGAUUGACGCUGAGGAACGAAGGGUUGGAUAGGAAACAGGAUUAGAUACCCCAGUACCCCUUCUCCGCGAACGAUGAAUGGUCGUCACUAAUAAAAUUCUUUUUUAGUGACAAUGCUAACGCGAUUACCAUUCCGCC
RNAcentral lists this non-coding RNA (761 nucleotides) under Hermanssonia centrifuga. RNAcentral describes it as "Phlebia centrifuga Bacterial small subunit ribosomal RNA". It matches the Rfam family "Bacterial small subunit ribosomal RNA", at positions 9 to 873 of the family's 1533-position model. The record is from Rfam by way of RNAcentral. Lineage: Eukaryota; Fungi; Basidiomycota; Agaricomycetes; Polyporales; Meruliaceae.